AUUGAACGCUGGCGGCAUGCCUAACACAUGCAAGUCGAACGGGGGUCGCGAGACCCCAGUGGCGGACGGGUGAGGAAUGCGUAGGAAUCGGCCCACGAGUGGGGGACAACCUGGGGAAACUCAGGCUAAUACCGCAUGAGCUCGGGAGAGGAAAGCGGGGGAUCUUCGGACCUCGCGCUGGUGGACGAGCCUACGUCCGAUUAGCUGGUUGGUGGGGUAAGGGCCUACCAAGGCGACGAUCGGUAGCGGGUCUGAGAGGACGACCCGCCACACUGGGACUGAGACACGGCCCAGACUCCUACGGGAGGCAGCAGUGGGGAAUAUUGGACAAUGGGCGCAAGCCUGAUCCAGCAAUGCCGCGUGGGUGAAGACGGCCUGCGGGUUGUAAAGCCCUUUAGGCGGGGAGGAACGACGGAGCGUUAAUACCGUUUCGAAGUGACGUUACCCGCGGAAUAAGCACCGGCUAACUACGUGCCAGCCGCCGCCGUAA
Molecule: ribosomal RNA, 490 nt
Filed under: uncultured bacterium
Lineage: Bacteria
Description: partial 16S ribosomal RNA
Rfam family: Bacterial small subunit ribosomal RNA
Source: RNAcentral